AAACCAACCGGGAUUGCCUUAGUAACGGCGAGUGAAGCGGCAAAAGCUCAAAUUUGAAAUCUGGUACCUUCGGUGCCCGAGUUGUAAUUUGGAGAGGGCAACUUUGGGGCCGUUCCUUGUCUAUGUUCCUUGGAACAGGACGUCAUAGAGGGUGAGAAUCCCGUGUGGCGAGGAGUGCGGUUCUUUGUAAAGUGCCUUCGAAGAGUCGAGUUGUUUGGGAAUGCAGCUCUAAGUGGGUGGUAAAUUCCAUCUAAAGCUAAAUAUUGGCGAGAGACCGAUAGCGAACAAGUACAGUGAUGGAAAGAUGAAAAGAACUUUGAAAAGAGAGUGAAAAAGUACGUGAAAUUGUUGAAAGGGAAGGGCAUUUGAUCAGACAUGGUGUUUUGUGCCCUCUGCUCCUUGUGGGUAGGGGAAUCUCGCAUUUCACUGGGCCAGCAUCAGUUUUGGUGGCAGGAUAAAUCCAUAGGAAUGUAGCUUGCCUCGGUAAGUAUUAUAGCCUGUGGGAAUACUGCCAGCU
Molecule: ribosomal RNA, 517 nt
Filed under: Saccharomyces cerevisiae (brewer's yeast)
Lineage: Eukaryota; Fungi; Ascomycota; Saccharomycetes; Saccharomycetales; Saccharomycetaceae
Description: eukaryotic LSU rRNA
Rfam family: Eukaryotic large subunit ribosomal RNA
Source: RNAcentral